AGCCUACGGAUUUAGGUUGAUUUUGAGGAAGCUCUUCCAGGCCCAGGAGAGCUGUUAGCCACAGGUUCUGUCUGAGUCACUGAAGCCAAGAAAUGUUUGGGCCUCAGAGAGCUAAGUGUGGCCAGGGGCAGGGGGUGAGGGGUAAAUCCCAGCAGAAGAGAACAGAGACUCCAACUUUAGGCCACUCCAAAGGGAGAGCCUUAUCCCUGGUCACUAAGACUGGACCUGGGGUCACACUGUGACAAUGACAGCCACUGUGACAUGCUGGCUGCCCCCCACCACCCCCAAGCAGUUCCCCAGCCACAAAGCUUAAGCCAUCCUUGAAGGGAGAAGGUGGCAGCUUGACUGAGCUGUGAGCUGAGAGGAAGCAGUCGCUGGUUCCCAGUAGAAGUCCAAAGAUGCUAAUAUUAUAGAACCCACAGUCCCUGCACAGGCUCCACGGAACCAUACUCCAUAUCGAUACGCAUGGAGCCCUCAACUUCCUGGUGGUGACUGUGGUUGGACCAAGAUGGCCCAGGACAACCCUCACUUCCUAGCUUUCCACGAGCAUCGCUCCGCUAACCGUUGGCCGAUCCCCUCCCCCCCAGAGAGGCAGCCACAGUGAUGGAGGAGCGGCCUUUUUGGAAUCAUGAGGACAAAAGCUAUACCGCAGACACGGUGUGACCAGAGAUCUCACAGGCUGUUGGCUGCCCCCCACAACUUCCCUGUCAUGACAGACAGUACCCUCAAGCCAGGAACCCAGACGAACCCUUCUUCCCUUAAGUUGCUUUGCUCGGUGUUCGCUUUUGCCUAAGCCACGAAAAAAAAAUAAUUCACAAGGUCUCUACUCUCAAUGAGACAGCCAGCAAAGAAGAUGUCCAUCAAAGAGGCCUUAGUAGUCUGAGUGCACCGCUCCCAAGCCAGGCCCUGAAGAGAUGUGUGACUGUGGGAUAUUCACUUCCCCACUCCAGCCUCUGUUUCCACAUCUGUAACAUCUGGGAAGGUCCAAGCACGCCCAACACCUCACUCUCUGAGGUCUGUGCCCAGCAGCUGGCCACCUUCCAGCAGGACGGAGCUAAGGCUGCUCUCUGGUUUCUUGACUUUGGGUAAAGAGCCAGGAGGCCCUGCUGCCUGCCAGGCCUCUGGCCCGCAGCUUCUGGAGCUGCCAAUAAAUCUCAGCAGGUGAUGAAAAGAGCCGGCUCCUGCCAGCAAGCCACGGGCUAAAGAGCCCCAUUGUGGC
Mus musculus (house mouse) is the source of this 1219-nucleotide long non-coding RNA. RefSeq annotates it as predicted gene, 38599. The record is from RefSeq and is a predicted model, not a curated record. The transcript has 4 exons. Lineage: Eukaryota; Metazoa; Chordata; Mammalia; Rodentia; Muridae.